Long non-coding RNA from Humulus lupulus (European hop), 1023 nucleotides. RefSeq lists it as uncharacterized. The record is from RefSeq and is a predicted model, not a curated record. The transcript is spliced from 6 exons. NCBI's taxonomy places the organism in Eukaryota, Viridiplantae, Streptophyta, Magnoliopsida, Rosales, Cannabaceae.
UUUCAUAAAUUUUUCUUGGUAAAGCUUGUUGAACCCAAAAUUUGCUGAGAGUUACAUGGUAAAUUGUAUUUGACUAUUUUGGCUUUAUUUAGCUCUUUGGUUUGACACUUUAGCUUAUCGAUUUUUUUUAAAAAAAUUUAGUCAUUAAUAGUAUGUCGGCUCAUCAAAAGUGGUUUGCUAACGCAUUUUACAUUCAGAUGUUCUGGGAUGAGGAUUUAUAGAUUGAGAACUUUAAUGGGUCAAUAUUGAUAUUUUUAUGUAUUAUAUGUUUUUUAUAAUUAGUAUGUUCUGCUGGUUUAUAUAUGUGCACAGAGAAUGAGAGUGGUGAGUUUGAUUAUGUGGAUGUGAGUGAGAAAGGACCACCACACUAGAGAGAGUUAAAGGAAGAAUGGAGGAUGAGAACUGUCUUUACCACAAAUAAAGACUAUGGAAAAGAAGAGAGAGAAGCACAAUGGGCUGCAACGCAGAGGACACUCCAUGGUCUUCAACCACCGGAAUCCACCCGAAAAAAGUAGUUACAGGGAGCUUUCAUAGAUUGCAGAACAAGCCAAGCGCCGGGCUGAGGUGGCAAGGCUUAGGGAGUUGCAUACACUCAAGGGUCAUGUUGAGUCAGUGGUGAAGCUGAAAGGUACCUUUCCUAGCACACUCUCACUCUCACCAGUCCCAUUUAUUGAGAGAAAUUUUCAAGACUAAUGCAUGUUCAACUUACGGGACUGCAUGACAAAACCCAUACAUUUAAGGUAAGUUCACGGUAGAAGGUAACAAGUAGCACCUUAGGAAUAUGUGAGACUGUUGAAACAAGUUUGCUUUAACAGCAUAGGGCAAAGGAAGUAGUACAAAUUCUUACUUUGUAAAGACUAUUGGUAACGAGGGUGAGUACAAUGACAAGAAGAAGAAAUAUAUGUUGUAUGACAAUGAAUUUAGUAUCUUAUUUUAUUUGUAAUUUUUAUUAGAGUAAAUGAUUCUUUUUUGAGUGUUUAAUUAUUUACUUUGUAAAUCUAGUUAUAUAUUUUUUAAAGCCAA